This 523-nucleotide ribosomal RNA is filed under the name uncultured bacterium. RNAcentral describes it as "bacterial SSU rRNA". It matches the Rfam family "Bacterial small subunit ribosomal RNA", at positions 356 to 896 of the family's 1533-position model. The record is from RNAcentral.
GGGGAAUAUUGGACAAUGGACCGAGAGUCUGAUCCAGCAAUUCUGUGUGCACAAUGAAGUUUUUCGGAAUGUAAAGUGCUUUCAGUUGGGAAGAAAAAAAUGACGGUACCAACAGAAGAAGUGACGGCUAAAUACGUGCCAGCAGCCGCGGUAAUACGUAUGUCACAAGCGUUAUCCGGAUUUAUUGGGCGUAAAGCGCGUCUAGGCGGCUAUGUAAGUCUGAUGUGAAAAUGCGGGGCUCAACUCCGUAUUGCGUUGGAAACUGUGUAGCUAGAGUAUCGGAGAGGUAAGCGGAACUACAAGUGUAGAGGUGAAAUUCGUAGAUAUUUGUAGGAAUGCCGAUGGGGAAGCCAGCUUACUGGACGAAUACUGACGCUAAAGCGCGAAAGCGUGGGUAGCAAACAGGAUUAGAUACCCUGGUAGUCCACGCCGUAAACGAUGAUUACUAGGUGUUGGGGGUCGAACCUCAGCGCCCAAGCUAACGCGAUAAGUAAUCCGCCUGGGGAGUACAUACGCAAGUAUG